This 244-nucleotide unclassified non-coding RNA is filed under the name uncultured fungus. Its description in RNAcentral is "partial contains 5.8S ribosomal RNA, internal transcribed spacer 2, and large subunit ribosomal RNA". Lineage: Eukaryota; Fungi. The record is from RNAcentral.
AAGGAUCAUUACCGAGUUAGGGUGCCUAACCCGCGCCCGACCUCCAACCCUUUGUCUACCUGACCUUAUGUUGCUUCGGCAGGCCCGCCUGCCCGGACCUCGCGUCUGGGCGGGCCGCCGGGGGUCUCGCGACCCCGGGCCUGUGCCUGUCGAUGGCCCACACCAAAACUAUUGUUAAAACGUGUCGUCUGAGUUAUCUAAACAAAUGAAAUUAAAACUUUCAACAACGGAUCUCUUGGUUCUG